Molecule: long non-coding RNA, 1052 nt
Organism: Ctenopharyngodon idella (grass carp)
Lineage: Eukaryota; Metazoa; Chordata; Actinopteri; Cypriniformes; Xenocyprididae
Exons: 4
Source: RefSeq, a predicted model, not a curated record
AGGCGCUGAAACAGACACGUUAUUUCUUUCAGCUCCUGCUCAAAGAUGGAUCUGCAAAUCUCAGUUGUUCUUCUGUUUAUUCUGGUCGCUGCGGGUACAAAGACGAGCAGUGCUUGUAGUGACCCUGAGCACAAACACGGAUCAUCACAGCACGCUCACUUCUGUUACGAGUGCACGGGUUUGAAUUACUGCGUGGACACACUGGCGAUUUGUCCCACUGGAUUUUCCAAGUGCAUGAGUUCAACAAUCUUAAUGGACAUCGGUGGAACUAGUUUGAAAAUUAAGAAAAAAGAAUGUAUUGAUGAAUGUCAGAAUGGUUCCAUUAACUACGGCAUAUCAAAGACGGCUUAUUCCUGCUGCGACACCGACUUCUGUAACGCCAGAGAUGCUCCAGAUCCCAGACUGAACACUCCCAAUGGAAGGACGUGUUAUUAUUGUGAUGGACAGAGCUGCUCAAACACAGUGAGCUGUUCCGGGAGUGAAGACAGCUGCAUUACAGCGACAGUGACACAAAGAGGCCUGUCAAUGCUUUUAAAAGGCUGUAUCACUAAAUCUAUUUGUGGUCUCCUAAAGUGCUCUUUUAUUCAGGACCUCUCAUGUUGUGAGGGGAACCUAUGUAACGGUGAUAAGAGCGACACACAGGCCGUCACCCAGGGCUUCAUAUAUGACGGUGAUAAGAGUCUCAACCAGAGCGUCACCCAGAGCUUCAUCCAGAGCUUCAUGUAUCACAGUGCAAAGAGCGUCACCCAGAGAACCCCGUAUAACGGCGAUAAGAGCGCCACCCACAGCUCCAUCAUGUAUAAGGGUGCUAAGAGUGACACCCAGAGAAUGACCUAUAACGGUGCUAAGAGCGUCACCCACAGCUUCCUGUUCUCUGCUCUCCUACUUCCUGCUGCACUGAUUCUACAAUGAGACACGCCAUACUGCUGGAAAAUAAAUCUCAUCUGUUGGCUAUUCAUGAGUUUGUAAAACUUUUCCUGUUUAGUUACAGAUCACAAAGGCAAAAAGAGAAAUAAUUGGAUAUGAUGAUCAAUAAAAAAUUUCACAAAUGC